Molecule: ribosomal RNA, 869 nt
Filed under: uncultured fungus
Lineage: Eukaryota; Fungi
Description: eukaryotic LSU rRNA
Rfam family: 5.8S ribosomal RNA (bases 336-489)
Source: RNAcentral
AGUAAAAGUCGUAACAAGGUUUCCGUAGGUGAACCUGCGGAAGGAUCAUUACUGAGGUUAACCGGGGGUGAGCUCGUUGCUGGCGCGUUCUUUUUUGAGCGCGCAUGUGCACAGUUCAUCUUCGUUCCUUCCUUAUCAACCCCUGUGCACUAUAUUAGGAUUAGAGAGAAGCGCGUCGUUCAGGGAUUAACGUAGUAGUUGUGGGUCCCCACUCGCGGCGAAAAGGUUAAUCUGUUAUCGGCGGCGUGUGGUACCUCGAAGUCCUUGUUUAUCAUAAACCACUAUACAUGUCUUGUCAGAAUGUUCAGUCCCUCGUUGGACGCUAAAUAUAAUACAACUUUCAACAACGGAUCUCUUGGCUCUCGCAUCGAUGAAGAACGCAGCGAAAUGCGAUAAGUAAUGUGAAUUGCAGAAUUCAGUGAAUCAUCGAAUCUUUGAACGCACCUUGCGCCCUUUGGUAUUCCGAAGGGCACGCCUGUUUGAGUGUCAUGUUCAUCUCAAUCCAUCAAGCUUUUGCGAGCUUGGCUUGGGUUGGAUUUGGGAGUCUGCUGGCCCCUUCUGCUGGGGUCGGCUCUCCUUGAAUGCAUGAGUGAGCAUCUGACUCGCGUUGCUGGUGUGAUAAGUUUCAUCAUUGGCGGCGCUUGUCUAAUGGGCUUGCUUUCGAACCGUCUUCUCAACGGAGACAACCUUUGACAUAUUUGACCUCAAAUCAGGUGGGACUACCCGCUGAACUUAAGCAUAUCAAUAAGCGGAGGAAAAGAAACUAACAAGGAUUCCCCUAGUAACUGCGAGUGAACCGGGAUGAGCUCAAAUUUAAAAUCUGGCGGUUCUGCCGUCCGAGUUGUAAUCUGGAGAAGCGUCUUCCGCGC